This 86-nucleotide transfer RNA is filed under the name Acidimicrobiaceae bacterium. RNAcentral's name for it is "tRNA-Leu(taa)". It matches the Rfam family "tRNA". Rfam says of the family: Transfer RNA (tRNA) molecules are approximately 80 nucleotides in length. Their secondary structure includes four short double-helical elements and three loops (D, anti-codon, and T loops). Further hydrogen bonds mediate the characteristic L-shaped molecular structure. tRNAs have two regions of fundamental functional importance: the anti-codon, which is responsible for specific mRNA codon recognition, and the 3' end, to which the tRNAs corresponding amino acid is attached (by aminoacyl-tRNA synthetases). tRNAs cope with the degeneracy of the genetic code in two manners: having more than one tRNA (with a specific anti-codon) for a particular amino acid; and 'wobble' base-pairing, i.e. permitting non-standard base-pairing at the 3rd anti-codon position. Lineage: Bacteria; Bacillati; Actinomycetota; Acidimicrobiia; Acidimicrobiales; Acidimicrobiaceae. The record is from RNAcentral.
GCCCGGGUGGCGGAAUGGCAGACGCAGAGGGCUUAAACCCCUCGGCUCUUAACAGGGCGUGUGGGUUCGAAUCCCACUCCGGGCAC